Nerophis lumbriciformis (worm pipefish) is the source of this 1663-nucleotide long non-coding RNA. RefSeq lists it as uncharacterized. NCBI's taxonomy places the organism in Eukaryota, Metazoa, Chordata, Actinopteri, Syngnathiformes, Syngnathidae. The record is from RefSeq and is a predicted model, not a curated record.
UCCAGCAGCUUUAUUUUGGCAGCCUCACUGCGCAUGGCUACAGUCGCACAGGAAAACGUAACGGCGAUAAUUAGAAAAGAACCUUGCGUUGGAAUCGGGAAUUAAACAUCGGACUCGGGAAGCGGCGCAUAGUAAACAAUCCUGACAGGAGCCAAUGGGAGAGCGAGAUCAUCGCCCUGACUUCCGGAGUGGGCUGAAAACUUAGCAGCGAGGCCACGCCCACCGUUGACUUUGCUUGGAGGGGAGCCUGAAAGAGGAGGUCACACAGAUGAAGAGCAACAUGUGAAAAGUGUACCUCGAAAACAACAAAAAUUGCGGCUGGAGCCGAGAAGCAGCCUCAGUCAGCUGGACGGGAGGAGUGGUCCACCCCAGGUCCCGACUUGAAACAGCUACCGCCUCCUCCGUGGAAACUGAUUGAUGGCCACCUGAUAACCUCUCGACGCAGGAGAGGGGGCCAAAGCAGAAAGAGAGGCGGCAGAUCAACUGGUUUAAAAAGGGGUCUAUUUAAAGCAGGCCUAUUCAACUGGCGAACCGCGGGCCACAACCGGCCCACCGAACAUCACCCAACCAUUGAUGAUGAAACCACUAAAACUAGGGUUGCUCAUGUAUGCAGUACUCCAGCCGUCCCGCAGGGGCCAACAGCGAGGCAUAUGUGUCACAAUGAAUCAACAGUGGGGUGAGUAGUAGAAAACUACUCGAUCACUCCUGAAAAAAAAAAUCUAAAUAGAAUGAAAAAAUCAGACUUUUAUCAACGACUGGACAACAAAGUAUGAAUGUUCUGCCCUGAGCAAUGCUUGAGUCAUUGUUUUCUCACGGACCUUUCAAGCGACGGACACAUUGAUCCAGACAAGCAGCAACAAUGGUAGAAAUCCCAGCGUGUAAGCUUCAUUACGAAACUUGGUCAAACAUUUGUAAGUAGAUAUUGUGCAUAAAGAUAUUUAGUUUGUUUUGUAUUGAAAUUGCUGACAUUGUGAUGUCUUUUGUAUUCGUGGUCGCGUUGGUAUUUGUCUGUGAGUAACUAUGCCGAUCAAAACUCAUUCAAUACAUGUAGCGCUACAUUUGACCAGUAGAGGGCGACAACACUACAUCUUAGGUUUAACUGUGAUAAGUCACAUACAGUGUGUGCAAUGUGUAAUUUCUUAAUGCUUAAACAUUUGUUGUUUAUCGUGUAAAAACAGUCACACUAAAACUUCUAUUUUAUUUAUGUAAAAUACACAAUGGCCAUUAUUUAUGUUCAAAUACACAAUUAGAUGUUAUACUUUUGUUAUAUUUAUUUUAUGUUUAGAUUUUCAGUCUUACAAACCUAAAUGAAGGAAGAAGUGUGGAGAAAUAAAACUGAGGAAGGAAAAGACUGCAAAAGAAGGAACAUCAAUCCUCAACAAAACUUCUCGAGCUUCUGUUUCUUAAUGCUUUUAAUUAGCUGCACACGCUGGAAACGAGUAGCGAGGGCAGAAUAAUGAAUUUAUUGAUAGUGCAAUGUGAAAGCGGAUGUGUUUAAUUUGCAAUUAAGUAAACACAGUUUCAAAGGAAUAUAACCUGCGAAAGCACUUUCUGACGAAACAUCCACAUUCCGAUUUCCGGCCCCAGAGCCCUUGGGCCCUUGAAAUUGCGGCCCCCUUCAUCAUGUAGUUGUAUAGCCCUGAUUUAAAGGCUGGGGUGUAUG